RNAcentral lists this ribosomal RNA (198 nucleotides) under uncultured bacterium. RNAcentral describes it as "partial 16S ribosomal RNA". It matches the Rfam family "Bacterial small subunit ribosomal RNA", at positions 328 to 539 of the family's 1533-position model. The record is from RNAcentral.
ACGCUCGACACCUACGGGAGGCAGCAGUGGGGAAUAUUGCACAAUGGGGGAAACCCUGAUGCAGCGACGCCGCGUGAGUGAAGAAGUAAUUCGUUAUGUAAAGCUCUAUCAGCAGGGAAGAAAGUGACGGUACCUGAGUAAGAAGCCCCGGCUAACUACGUGCCGGCAGCCGCGGUAAUCUGAGCGGGCUGGCAAGGC